RNAcentral lists this ribosomal RNA (587 nucleotides) under uncultured bacterium. Its description in RNAcentral is "bacterial SSU rRNA". It matches the Rfam family "Bacterial small subunit ribosomal RNA", at positions 246 to 849 of the family's 1533-position model. The record is from RNAcentral.
UAGUUGGUGAGGUAACGGCUCACCAAGACCGCGAUCGGUAGCCGGACUGAGAGGUUGAACGGCCACAUUGGGACUGAGACACGGCCCAGACUCCUACGGGAGGCAGCAGUGGGGGAUAUUGCGCAAUGGGGGCAACCCUGACGCAGCAACGCCGCGUGAAGGAUGAAGGUUUUCGGAUUGUAAACUUCUUUUAUUAAGGACGAAACUUGACGGUACUUAAUGAAUAAGCUCCGGCUAACUACGUGCCAGCAGCCGCGGUAAUACGUAGGGAGCAAGCGUUGUCCGGAUUUACUGGGUGUAAAGGGUGCGUAGGCGGCUUUGCAAGUCAGAUGUGAAAUCUAUGGGCUCAACCCAUAAACUGCAUUUGAAACUGUAGAGCUUGAGUGAAGUAGAGGCAGGCGGAAUUCCCCGUGUAGCGGUGAAAUGCGUAGAGAUGGGGAGGAACACCAGUGGCGAAGGCGGCCUGCUGGGCUUUAACUGACGCUGAGGCACGAAAGCGUGGGUAGCAAACAGGAUUAGAUACCCUGGUAGUCCACGCUGUAAACGAUGAUUACUAGGUGUGGGGGGUCUGACCCCUUCCGUGCCGG